UUGUAAACAGACUGUAACUGCCAGAGCAGC
Molecule: non-coding RNA, 30 nt
Filed under: Cricetulus griseus (Chinese hamster)
Lineage: Eukaryota; Metazoa; Chordata; Mammalia; Rodentia; Cricetidae
Source: RNAcentral